Molecule: ribosomal RNA, 253 nt
Filed under: uncultured bacterium
Lineage: Bacteria
Description: partial 16S ribosomal RNA
Rfam family: Bacterial small subunit ribosomal RNA
Source: RNAcentral
UACGUAGGUGGCAAGCGUUGUCCGGAAUUAUUGGGCGUAAAGCGCGCGCAGGCGGUCCUUUAAGUCUGAUGUGAAAGCCCACGGCUCAACCGUGGAGGGUCAUUGGAAACUGGGGGACUUGAGUGCAGAAGAGGAAAGCGGAAUUCCACGUGUAGCGGUGAAAUGCGUAGAGGUCAUGAGGAAGACCAGUGGCGAAGGCGGGUCUCUGGACAGUUCCUGACACUGAGACACGAAGGCCAGGGGAGCAAACGGG